RNAcentral lists this ribosomal RNA (301 nucleotides) under uncultured bacterium. RNAcentral describes it as "partial 16S ribosomal RNA". It matches the Rfam family "Bacterial small subunit ribosomal RNA", at positions 509 to 808 of the family's 1533-position model. The record is from RNAcentral.
CAGUAGCCGCGGUAAUACGGAGGGGGCUAGCGCUGUUCGGAAUUACUGGGCGUAAAGCGCACGUAGGCGGCGAUCUAAGUCAGGGGUGAAAGCCCGGGGCUCAACCCCGGAAUAGCCUUUGAGACUGGAUUGCUAGAAUCUGGGAGAGGUGAGUGGAAUUCCGAGUGUAGAGGUGAAAUUCGUAGAUAUUCGGAAGAACACCAGUGGCGAAGGCGGCUCACUGGACCAGUAUUGACGCUGAGGUGCGAAAGCGUGGGGAGCAAACAGGAUUAGAUACCCCAGUAGUCCCUGUCUCUUAACA